AGAGUUUGAUCAUGGCUCAGAAUCAACGCUGGCGGCGCGCCUAACACAUGCAAGUCGCACGAGAAAGCGGGAGCAAUCUCGCAAGUACAGUGGCGUACGGGUGAGUAACACGUGGAUCAUCUGCCCUGGAGUGGGGAAUAACGCUGGGAAACCGGCGCUAAUACCGCAUAUUCCCGAGAGGGGAAAGCAGCAAUGCGCUCGAGGAGGAGUCCGCGGCCGAUUAGCUAGUUGGCAGGGUAAAAGCCUACCAAGGCUGUGAUCGGUAGCCGGCCUGAGAGGGCACACGGCCACACUGGCGCUGAAACACGGGCCAGACUCCUACGGGAGGCAGCAGUGGGGAAUCUUGCACAAUGGGGGGAACCCUGAUGCAGCGACGCCGCGUGAGCGAUGAAGCCCUUCGGGGUGUAAAGCUCUUUCGGCAGGGAAGAUUAUGACGGUACCUGCAGAAGCAGCUGCGGCUAACUACGUGCCAGCAGCCGCGGUAAUACGUAGGCAGCAAGCGUUGUUCGGAGUUACUGGGCGUAAAGGGUGUGUAGGCGGCCUGUUAAGUUCCGUGUGAAAUCUCCCGGCUCAACCGGGAGGGUGCGCGGAAUACUGACGGGCUAGAGUGCGGGAUGGGAGAGUAGAAUUCCUGGUGUAGCGGUGAAAUGCGUAGAUAUCAGGAGGAAUACCGGUGGUGUAGACGGCUCUCUGGACCGCAACUGACGCUGAAACACGAAAGCGUGGGUAGCAAACAGGAUUAGAUACCCUGGUAGUCCACGCCCUAAACGAUGCAUAUUUGGUGUAGGUCAUUCAGUUGAUCUGUGCCGGAGCUAACGCGUUAAAUAUGCCGCCUGGGGAGUACAGUCGCAAGGCUGAAACUCAAAGGAAUUGACGGGGGCCCGCACAAGCGGUGGAGCAUGUGGUUCAAUUCGACGCAACGCGAAGAACCUUACCUGGGCUCGAACGGCUGGUCAACGAUCGUGGAAACACGGUUACUCCGCAAGGGGGUCCAGUCGAGGUGCUGCAU
Molecule: ribosomal RNA, 1009 nt
Filed under: uncultured bacterium
Lineage: Bacteria
Description: bacterial SSU rRNA
Rfam family: Bacterial small subunit ribosomal RNA
Source: RNAcentral